This 963-nucleotide long non-coding RNA is filed under the name Sinocyclocheilus grahami. RNAcentral's name for it is "lncRNA (ENSSGRG00000022168.1)". Lineage: Eukaryota; Metazoa; Chordata; Actinopteri; Cypriniformes; Cyprinidae. The record is from RNAcentral.
GUUCGCAAGGCAGAAAUGAUGCUCGCGUCUGUACUGUGGACAGCUGUUCUAUUUACUCUUGUAAAAGCCACCAUCCUGGACAGCGGUCCAACUGAAGCACCAGACGUGGAGAGCGGCUCGGGGAUGCUGCUGACAGAAGCAAUAGACCUUCUUGAUCAUCUGUGGCAGGUGGCUAAUCACAGCAAUGCAUCAGUAACACAGGAAAGCCAAAGAUGUCCAGUCCUGCAUGUAGGCCAGUACUCCACCCUCUAUAUACCACUACGGCAGGUGUUUGGACACAGGUUUGGUGAUGAGUUCAGUUUGCUGUUGCAUUUGCGUAGCUCCCAGUCUGAAGACCGCAGUGUGCUGACUUUCCUCUGUCCAGAUGGACACAUUCUCCUGCAGAUUCGCAUCAGUGCCUACACUUUUACCUUUAUCAGUACCCAACAACGACACUAUGAGUUCCCCGUGGCAGUGCUGUCUGAUGGGGGUUGGCACCACGUGGCAGUCAGCGUCUCCUCAGGCCGGUUGGCGUUGUAUGUGGAUUGCUCCAUGGUUGAGAGCGUGGACUGGGCUUAUAAGGACGGUUUGGGAAUCUCAACUGAUGGCCUGGUUAUGGUGGGAGGAAUCAUUGAGGGUUUUGAGACACCUUUUGAGGGUGAUCUGAUGCAAGUGGCAUUUCUGAUGGGAGAACCAGAUGCAGCUCGAGACCAGUGUGCCGUUUUGCAACCCCAGUGUGGUGGAACCGGACACAAACCACCUCGCUCUCCUCGCAUACACACUGACGAGGAACUUCUGCUGUCCUCAAAUGACCUGGAGGACUUAUUAGAGACAGCAGAGGACAGUGACUCUAUUCGUGUAAAACUGACUGUAAGUUGCAAUACUAUGCAGCUGUGCCAUAGUAACUAAGUUACUUCUCAUAUAAAUUCAAAUUCAUAGUCAAAAUUGAUACUGUUAUUUACUCACCUUCAUGCCAUUCCAAAC